GAUGAACGCUGGCGGCGUGCCUAAUACAUGCAAGUCGAGCGAACAGACGAGGAGCUUGCUCCUCUGACGUUAGCGGCGGACGGGUGAGUAACACGUGGAUAACCUACCUAUAAGACUGGGAUAACUUCGGGAAACCGGAGCUAAUACCGGAUAAUAUAUUGAACCGCAGGGUUAAUUAGGGAAAGACGGUUUUGCUGUCACUAAUAGAGGAAUCCCCGCCGCAUUAGCUGGUUGGUAAGGUAACGGCUUACCAAGGCAACGAUGCGUAGCCGACCUGAGAGGGUGAUCGGCCACACUGGAACUGAGACACGGUCCAGACUCCUACGGGAGGCAGCAGUAGGGAAUCUUCCGCAAUGGGCGAAAGCUUGACGGAGCAACGCCGCGUGAGUGAUGAAGGUCUUCGGAUCGUAAAACUCUGUUAUUAGGGAAGAACAAAUGUGUAAGUAACUAUGCACGUCUUGACGGUACCUAAUCAGGAAGCCACGGCUAACUACGUG
This 497-nucleotide ribosomal RNA is filed under the name uncultured bacterium. RNAcentral describes it as "partial 16S ribosomal RNA". It matches the Rfam family "Bacterial small subunit ribosomal RNA", at positions 28 to 507 of the family's 1533-position model. The record is from RNAcentral.